This 515-nucleotide ribosomal RNA is filed under the name uncultured bacterium. Its description in RNAcentral is "bacterial SSU rRNA". It matches the Rfam family "Bacterial small subunit ribosomal RNA", at positions 774 to 1304 of the family's 1533-position model. The record is from RNAcentral.
AGGAAAUAGAUACCCGGGUAGUCCUGGCAGUAAACGAUGAGCACUAGGUGUGGGGGGUAUCGAGCCCCUCCGUGCCGACGUCAAACACAUUAAGUGCUCCGCCUGGGGAGUACGGCCGCAAGGUUAAAACUCAAAGGAAUUGACGGGGCCCCGCACAAGCAGCGGAGCGUGUGGUUUAAUUCGAUGCAACGCGAAGAACCUUACCUAGGCUUGACAUGGCACUGUAAAGGCUGGAAACAGCUUCCCUCUUCGGAGCAGUGUCACAGAUGUUGCAUGGCUGUCGUCAGCUCGUGUCGUGAGAUGUUGGGUUAAGUCCCGCAACGAGCGCAACCCUCGUGGCUAGUUGAACCGCUCUAGCCAGACCGCCUACUAAAUAGGAGGAAGGUGGGGAUGACGUCAAGUCCGCAUGGCUCUUACGUCUAGGGCUACACACACGCUACAAUGGCCGGAACAGAGCGCAGCAAGCGUGCGAACGCAAGCAAAUCGCGAAAACCGGUCUCAGUUCGGAUUGCAGG